This 440-nucleotide ribosomal RNA is filed under the name uncultured bacterium. RNAcentral's name for it is "partial 16S ribosomal RNA". It matches the Rfam family "Bacterial small subunit ribosomal RNA", at positions 338 to 795 of the family's 1533-position model. The record is from RNAcentral.
CCUACGGGAGGCAGCAGUGGGGAAUAUUGCACAAUGGGGGAAACCCUGAUGCAGCGACGCCGCGUGAGUGAAGAAGUAUUUCGGUAUGUAAAGCUCUAUCAGCAGGGAAGAAAAUGACGGUACCUGAUCAAGAAGCCCCGGCUAACUACGUGCCAGCAGCCGCGGUAAUACGUAGGGGGCCAGCGUUAUCCGGAUUUACUGGGUGUAAAGGGAGCGUAGGCGGCAGCACAAGUCUGGAGUGAAAUGCCGGGGCUUAACCCCGGAACUGCUUUGGAAACUGUGCAGCUAGAGUGCAGGAGAGGUAAGUGGAAUUCCUAGGGUAGCGGUGAAAUGCGUAGAUAUUAGGAAGAACCCCAGUGGCGAAGGCAGCUUACUGGACUGUAACUGACGUUGAGGCUCGAAAGCGUGGGGAGCAAACAGGAUUAGAUACCCCAGUAGUC